GUGGGGAAUAUUGGACAAUGGGCGAAAGCCUGAUCCAGCCAUGCCGCGUGUGUGAAGAAGGUCUUCGGAUUGUAAAGCACUUUAAGUUGGGAGGAAGGGCAGUAAGUUAAUACCUUGCUGUUUUGACGUUACCGACAGAAUAAGCACCGGCUAACUUCGUGCCAGCAGCCGCGGUAAUACGAAGGGUGCAAGCGUUAAUCGGAAUUACUGGGCGUAAAGCGCGCGUAGGUGGUUUUGUAAGUUGGAGGUGAAAUCCCCGGGCUCAACCUUGGAACUGCCUCCAAAACUGCAUGACUAGAGUACGGUAGAGGGUAGUGGAAUUUCCUGUGUAGAGGUGAAAUGCGUAGAUAUAGGAAGGAACACCAGUGGCGAAGGCGACUACCUGGACUGAUACUGACACUGAGGUGCGAAAGCGUGGGGAGCAAACAGGAUUAGAAACCCUGGUAGUCC
Molecule: ribosomal RNA, 450 nt
Filed under: uncultured bacterium
Lineage: Bacteria
Description: partial 16S ribosomal RNA
Rfam family: Bacterial small subunit ribosomal RNA
Source: RNAcentral